This is a long non-coding RNA of Callorhinus ursinus (northern fur seal), 571 nucleotides long. RefSeq lists it as uncharacterized. NCBI's taxonomy places the organism in Eukaryota, Metazoa, Chordata, Mammalia, Carnivora, Otariidae. The record is from RefSeq and is a predicted model, not a curated record.
AGGGCCAUUUGGAAAGCCUCUACCUGUACAUUACAACCUAUUUGAUGCUGCUAGAGGUUUCAGGCCUUCAUAGUCCUCCCAGCUCCACACCCUGCCAUUCUUCUUCCUUCUCCACACCUGUCAGAGCCCCAAUUUUUGUUUAACUGACAAGACUGAGAGUGUGCUAAACAGGAAAUAGAAGUGGCUCUGCACUAAGGACUAAAUCUGCUCUCCCCUCUGGACAUAAAGUUUGGGCUCAACUUCUCCAGGGAUCUGAGCCAGUGGCGCCAGCAUUCAUGUGACUGGAAACGGAAGGCAAGCGAAUGCAUGUGGAGCCAGUGACUAUGAAAUCAGUCUCAUUAAAUUUACUCAGUUUUCUUCAAGUCUUAAAGCAUGAAGCAUUACAAACCUUCAUAUGUACACUAGGGAAAGAAAGGAAGAAAAAAAAGAACUCCAGGGCAAGACCUAAGGAAAAGCCUGUGGAAAGAACACAGCAAGCCAAGGAAACCAGCUGCAGUUCCAGAGAACACAAAGAGAAGCACUCCAAAACAUGUUGCAAAAUGCCUAGUUCCUGAGCCAGAUGCAAGCAGCC